CCUACGGGAGGCAACAGUAGGGAAUCUUCGGCAAUGGGGGCAACCCUGACCGAGCAACGCCGCGUGAGUGAAGAAGGUUUUCGGAUCGUAAAGCUCUGUUGUAAGUCAAGAACGGGUGUGAGAGUGGAAAGUUCACACUAUGACGGUAGCUUACCAGAAAGGGACGGCUAACUACGUGCCAGCAGCCGCGGUAAUACGUAGGUCCCGAGCGUUGUCCGGAUUUAUUGGGCGUAAAGCGAGCGCAGGCGGUUUGAUAAGUCUGAAGUUAAAGGCUGUGGCUCAACCAUAGUUCGCUUUGGAAACUGUCAAACUUGAGUGCAGAAGGGGAGAGUGGAAUUCCAUGUGUAGCGGUGAAAUGCGUAGAUAUAUGGAGGAACACCGGUGGCGAAAGCGGCUCUCUGGUCUGUAACUGACGCUGAGGCUCGAAAGCGUGGGGAGCGAACAGGAUUAGAUACCCUGGUAGUCCACGCCGUAAACGAUGAGUGCUAGGUGUUGGAUCCUUUCCGGGAUUCAGUGCCGCAGCUAACGCAUUAAGCACUCCGCCUGGGGAGUACGACCGCAAGGUUGAAACUCAAAGAGUAGUCGGCGUGNGAGAGCGACGACGACGACGAGGAGGAGGAGG
This 622-nucleotide ribosomal RNA is filed under the name uncultured bacterium. RNAcentral describes it as "bacterial SSU rRNA". It matches the Rfam family "Bacterial small subunit ribosomal RNA", at positions 338 to 944 of the family's 1533-position model. The record is from RNAcentral.